AAAAUUAAAGAUGUAUUUUGAUACAUCUAUGUUAAUAUUUCUGUAAAUUAAAAAAAAAAAAAAAGAAGUAGCCCAUUUCCCAGUCUGUUUCAGUGACUUCUGGAGAUUACUCUCAUUAUCUUAUUUAUGUAGUGGAAUAUAAAAUAAUAAAAUUAUUCUUUCUUAAUUUUCUGUAUUCUGUGUGUAUGAAUUUACAAUGCUGCCUUUUCUUUUUUUUUUUUACCUUUACCGUUUGCCUUGGAAAUUGAUUUUCCACUUUUCCAUCUGAGUGUAUACCUACAGUCUGGCUUCUUAAUACCUGCAGGCACUGAGCCCAAGCACCUCUGGAGAAGUGAGAGGCAGGCAGGGCUCUGACAGCUACGUGAUUCUUGUAACUAUAGAGCAAACUCAAAUUUCCUUAUUUUACUGCAAUUAUAAUGUAUAUUCCAUAGAUUCUGCCAGAGAUACCUCUUUCUUUUUGCAGAGGAUAUCCAGAAGUUUUGCCUUGCUGGAGAUCAAAUAAAACCAUUUCAGCCUGCAAUUGGGGUGGAAAUGGAGGAAGAGAGCAAUGAGACAGUCACAAUGUCAUUUACAGCAUGAAAGUGAAAAAGACUCAGCUGGCACUUCUAACGCUCUGGAGCACCCACAAACAGAAUCCAUCUGUGGCUAUGUCAUUACCACCACUGGAAAACAUUAAUAAAACGUUAGGUAGGAAAGGAGUGUGUGCUUUCACUCACAGGAACUCUUUGACCGAGAAAUACAUUUAAAACUCAAGAGGAUAUAUUAAAAUAUGUGAUUCCAGGUUAUUACUCUUCCACAUUUUGUCAAAUCCCUGGCAGUCCGUUAUUUUCAGCUCCUUUUUUUUUUCUCUCUUAAAUAAGAUAAAAUGCUGCAGAGGCUAAAUGCAGAGUCUUCACAUUACUAUUCUGUCCAUCCAGUGUUGGAAUUGAUUAAAGUAAAUUAAAUGACAGGUAAGAUUUUCUUUCUGACAAUGAUGUCCUUUCUUAUUCUUCCUUUUUUUCAGAGUUGCUUAGUUUAAAUGUAUUAGUUUAGGGAUUUCUUUCUGAUGACUGCAUUAAUAGAGCAAUUCCCCCAAGGAAAGGAGAAAGAAAGAGAUUCCUAUUUGUGUGAACCUUUCCUUCCCUGUUGGAAACACUUUAACUUCUUCAGGCAUUUCAUUGUUCCACUUUUGAAAGCCUUUGUUUUUUAUAGCAUCUCUGUUCAUAGCAAGAACAGUAUGCACUUCUGGUUUACAUAUUUUUUUAAUUCUAAUACUUCUCACAAACUGAUGGUGGCAGUGAUGAUUGUAAAAGAUUAUAUCUGUGAUUACUUUUUUAGCUUGAAGAGAAUCCAGUGCCAUUUGCAGAAGAGUAAACUGGAUAAGAAGUGAACAUCAUAAAUGGUUUGGCAUCACUGAAGGGGUUUAUUACAGCUCCCUUUGGAUACUGGAAGGCCGCAAUGAGGUCACCCUGAAGCCUUCUCUUUUCCAAGCUGAACAAUCCCAAUUCUCUCAGCCUUUCCUCAUAGGAGAGGUGCUUUCUUCCAAUCAUCUUGGUAGCCCUCCUCUGGAGUCACUACAACAGGUUGAUUAUCCUUCCAGU
This is a long non-coding RNA of Pipra filicauda (Wire-tailed manakin), 1580 nucleotides long. RefSeq lists it as uncharacterized. The transcript has 4 exons. The record is from RefSeq and is a predicted model, not a curated record. Lineage: Eukaryota; Metazoa; Chordata; Aves; Passeriformes; Pipridae.